Molecule: long non-coding RNA, 2256 nt
Organism: Oncorhynchus kisutch (coho salmon)
Lineage: Eukaryota; Metazoa; Chordata; Actinopteri; Salmoniformes; Salmonidae
Exons: 4
Source: RefSeq, a predicted model, not a curated record
UUGCUAGCUAACGUUGUGUAUGAUCUUAUUCUUUGUAUAUAAGACACAUUUGCUUGACUAGUUACAGCCAUAGAACCUGGUUGGUUAGCUACCUGCAGGGUAUUAAUGUCAUGAGUUGUAAUUAUGGUCCAUUGUUUCGCUAGCUAGCUGCAUGUCUUAACUCCACUCUAAUUUUGACAAAGUAUUUUAAUUUCAAGUUAACGUGUACUGUUAGCUAGCUAGCUAACAUUAGCUGGCUGGCUCGCUAACUAACAUUACGUCAUGCGUUGGGAUUCAUUGUUUACCUAGUUAGCUAUCUAGUUAACAAAAGACUCGUCUUAGUGUGCCAGAGCGCAGACUAACUGAUGCAUCUUUUAACGCUCAACACCCGUUGAAUAUGUCCAGUGUCAGUAAACGUUGGCAACAAAGAGUAAUUCAAUUGUUGCAAGCAGCACAGUUAGUCACCACCGCUCUUGGAUCACCUGAAAAAAAGCCUAAAGCCUAACCAGCUCUGCUAGGGCCCGUCCAGUCAACACCACCUCAUAAGAUGAGGAAGUACAUUGUUUACAAGAAUUGCCUGCUGUCGUUGUUCCAUAGUUGUCCAGUUUUCAGCCGAACAUGCAACAUAGAGAAAACCAGUAAGGGGACCCUCAGCAUCACACAGACAAGCCUUCGCUGUGAGCAUUCCUAUAAAUGUAACAGGAAGGACACUUGAAUCAGGUGCUGAUCUAUGCUGCUAUGCCCAUCAAUGGGCUGCUGGCAAAGACCUUACCUCUAGCCUCAACUCUUGCCUGCUCAACAAUGGUCGUCGAUGGGGAGACCAGAAUUAGAAACAUGAAUGGAACCAGCACAUGGAGACUUGCAAGAUGAUGUGAUUAAUCCCAGACUUAUAACCAGGCUCGAUACUGAGGACGAAUGUGGAGAGGGACCUGGAAAUCGGCAUUAUAUUUUACCAGAGACACAUUUUACUUGUAUUGUCUUUUCUUAUUAUUGAAUUGAAUGGUAACCCUGUGUAUUCUGCUCCAGGAUCAGGGAAAUCCUGUUUACGGAAUACCAAACAGGAAGCCUUGACCACUUGUUUGUCAAUGUAUCCCCAUUACCAACAGACAAAAUGUCAAUAGGCACAGUAUCUUUAUUGGCUGAGGAUGACAAUGGAAGGAGAAAUGUGUGAAUUGUUUUAGCAGAACACUGCUUCUAUGGUAUUAUGAGAAAGGGUUGUUUAUUCUACUAUACAGUGCAUUCGGGAAGUAUUCAGACCCCUUGACUUUUUCAACAUUUUGUUUCGUUACAAGCCUUAUUCUAAUAUUGAUUAAAUACUUCCCCCCCCUCAAAUCUACACACAAUUCCCCAUAAUGACAAACUGGAAAAUGUUUGCAAAUGUACUACAAAUAAAAACCAAAAAUACCUUAGUUACUUAAGUAUUCCGACCCUUUGCUAUGACACUCGAAGUUGAGCUCAGGUGCAUCCUGUUUCCAUUGAUCAUCAUUGAGAUGCUUCUCCAACUUGCAGUCCACCUGUGGUAAAUUAAAUAGCUUGGACAUGAUUUGGAAAGGCAAAAACCUGUCUAUCUAAAGGUCCCACAGUUUACAGUGCAUGUCAGUGCAAAAACCAAGCUAUGGGGUCAAAGGAAUUGUCCGUAGAGCGCCGAGAAAGGUUUGUGUUGAGGUACAGAUCUGGGGAAGGGUACCAAAACAUUUCUGCAGCUUUGAAGGUCCCCCAAGAACACAGUGGUCUUAGUCAUUCUUAAAUGGAAGAAGUUUGGAACAACCAAGACUACUCCUAGAGCAAUCGGGGGACAAAGGCCUUGGUUAGGGAGGUGACCAAGAACCCGAUGCUCACUCUGACAGAACUCCCGAGUUCCUCUGGAGAUGGGAGAACCUUCCAGAAGGACAACUCUCUCUGCAGCACUCCAGCACUUCAACCUUCUGGCUACAAAACUAUGAACAUUUUGUAAAACUGCAUAUCUAAGGCUCUGGUCUGUCCUAGGAGUGAGGGUAAAUGUAAGGCAUGUUCUCUGCUAUCCACUUUAUGUUUUCAUUAUUAUUUGGGGUAUAGGGGAGGGUCACUUGUUCCUUUUAAUAAGUAUUCGGGGAUGGUCGGGUAAAAUAUAUUUUAUUGAAGGGAGGGCCAUCCAUUUUAAUUCCAGGUAUCCCUCAUUGUAAAGUACAGUCCCUUACGUGAAGUGCUUUUCAGAUCAUUGAUUGAUGCAACUGAACUGGAAAACAAGUUUCUUGGUCACUUGUAUAUAAAACACCAAAAAUAAAACUUGAAUAUGGU